RNAcentral lists this long non-coding RNA (4913 nucleotides) under Homo sapiens (human). RNAcentral's name for it is "HSALNT0383894". The record is from RNAcentral. Lineage: Eukaryota; Metazoa; Chordata; Mammalia; Primates; Hominidae.
AGAUGAACUCCUUGGUCUGCCUGCUCUGCCGACUCCUCCAGGAGUGUCUUCUUCUUCCCACGCGAGUCUCGUCACGCCGCUGUGCCUGCUCGGCCGACUCCUCCAUGAGUGUCUUCUCGUUCCCACGCGAGUGCAGGUUGGACAGCAGCUCUGAGAAGAUGAACUCCUUGGUCUGCCUGCUCUGCCGACGCCUCCACGAGUGUCUUCUCGUUCCCACGCGAGUGCAGGUUGGACAGCAGCUCUGAGAUGAACUCCUUGGUCUGCCUGCUCUGCCGACGCCUCCACGAGUGUCUGCAGGUUCCGACGCGAGUACAGGUUGGACAGCAGCUCCGAGAAGAUGAACUCCUUGGUCUGCCUGCUCUGCCGACUCCUCCAGGAGUGUCUUCUUCUUCCCACGCGAGUCUCGUCACACCUCUGUGCCUGCUCUGCCGACUCCUCCAUGAGUGUCUUCUCGUUCCCACGCGAGUGCAGUUUGGACAGCAGCUCUGAGAAGAUGAACUCCUUGGUCUGCCUGCUCUGCCGACGCCUCCACGAGUGUCUUCUCGUUCCCACGCGAGUGCAGGUUGGACAGCAGCUCUGAGAAGAUGAACUCCUUGGUCUGCCUGCUCUGCCAACGCCUCCACGAGUGUCUGCUCGUUCCCACGCGAGUACAGGUUGGACAGCAGCUCUGAGAAGAUGAACUCCUUGGUCUGCCUGCUCUGCCGACGCCUCCACGAGUGUCUUCUCGUUCCCACGCCAGUGCAGGUUGGACAGCAGCUCUGAGAAGCAGCAUCUCGUCGCACCGCUGUGCCUGCUCUGCCGACGCCUCCACGAGUGUCUGCAGGUUCCGACGCGAGUACAGGUUGGACAGCAGCUCCGAGAAGAUGAACUUCUUGGUCUGCCUGCUCUGCCGACUCCUCCAGGAGUGUCUUCUUCUUCCCACGCGAGUCUCGUCACACCUCUGUGCCUGCUCUGCCGACUCCUCCAUGAGUGUCUUCUCGUUCCCACGCGAGUGCAGUUUGGACAGCAGCUCUGAGAAGAUGAACUCCUUGGUCUGCCUGCUCUGCCGACGCCUCCACGAGUGUCUUCUCGUUCCCACGCGAGUGCAGGUUGGACAGCAGCUCUGAGAAGAUGAACUCCUUGGUCUGCCUGCUCUGCCAACGCCUCCACGAGUGUCUGCUCGUUCCCACGCGAGUACAGGUUGGACAGCAGCUCUGAGAAGAUGAACUCCUUGGUCUGCCUGCUCUGCCGACGCCUCCACGAGUGUCUUCUCGUUCCCAAGCCAGUGCAGGUUGGACAGCAUCUCUGAGAAGCAGCAUCUCGUCGCACCGCUGUGCCUGCUCUGCCGACUCCUCCACAAGUGUCUGCAGGUUCCGACGCGAGUACAGGUUGGACAGCAGCUCCGAGAAGAUGAACUCCUUGAUCUGCCUGCUCUGCCGACUCCUCCAGGAGUGUCUUCUUCUUCCCAUGCGAGUCUCGUCACGCCGCUGUGCCUGCUCGGCCGACUCCUCCAUGAGUGUCUUCUCGUUCCCACGCGAGUGCAGGUUGGACAGCAGGUCUGAGAAGAUGAACUCCUUGGUCUGCCUGCUCUGCCGACGCCUCCACGAGUGUCUUCUCGUUCCCACGCGAGUACAGGUUGGACAGCAGCUCUGAGAAGAUGAACUCCUUGGUCUGCCUGCUCUGCCGACGCCUCCACGAGUGUCUUCUUGUUCCCAAGCGAGUGCAGGUUGGACAGCAGCUCUGAGAAGCAGCAUCUCGUCGCGCCGCUGUGCCUGCUCUGCCGACUCCUCCAGGAGUGUCUCCUUGUUCCCACGCGAGUACAGGUUGGACAGCAGCUCUGAGAAGAUGAACUCCUUGGUCUGAGAGUGGGCAAAGAAGGAAGGAGUUUGGGUCCUGAUGCCCGUGCUGCCCUGGCCUCCCGCUGGCGCCUGCUGGGACUGUGUGCUGGAGUUGAAGCCCUGAGUAUGGCUUUUCAGAUGUGGCUUCUACACAGCUUAAACUCAAAGAUCUGCCUCCCCAUUGCCCUUUUCUCACUCAGAUAGGGACGCUGAGGUCCAGAGGAAAGGUCGCCUGUGCAAGUCACAGAUCUGGGAGGGGACCCUGGACCUAUCAUGCUACCAGGACACCUGUCUACUCAGGUUUUUCAAAUUUUUUUUGGAGAUAGGAUCUCACUCUGUCGCUAGGCUGGAGUAUAGAGGGCGAGAUCACCGCUCACUGCAUCCUCAACCUCUUGGGCUCAAAGUGAUCCUCUAAUGUCAGCCUGUCGAGUAGCUAGGACUAUAGGCACGUGCCACCACCAAGCCCAGCUAUUUUUAAAAUUUUUGUGUAGAGGCCAGGUCUCACUAUGUUGCCCAGGCUGGUCUCGAACUCCUGGGCUCAAGCUAUCCUCCCGCCUUGGCCUCCCAAAGUGCUGGGAUUACAGGCAUGGACCACUGUCCUCAGUCCCAUGUUAUAUUUCUAUGAGACAGCUCUGGUCUGGACCAUGCCUCCCUCCCUGGACCUGGUCCCAUAGGGCUGGUCAGCAUCUCCCCCAGGCCAACAUGGCCACCUGCAUCCCCAGUGCCACAGGAGCCGCCUACCCCCAUGAGGCGGUGCAUGCACAUUGUAGAUCAUGAUGUGCAUGAUGGUCUUGGGCUUCGCACCAACCAUGAGGUUCCACACGGUCUUGUUGACAAUGGCCAUGUAGGAGUCCACCAGGUUCUGGGUGGUUUCCAUUUGCCGCUCCAGCUGUGGGUCCAUGGAGUGCAUGAAGCUGUGGGAGCCAUUCUCCUCAGCCUUGCUGUCCUGUCACGGAGAAUGCAAGCGCAUCAGGGUGGCCAGGCCAUGCAGCCAGGCUCCAGCAAUCCCUAGGAUCUCAGUCCCUCCAAGGGUACCUGGAACAUUGAAGCACAGAGAAAGGCAACUGGCCUGAACACACACCCAGGUCCCCACAUGCUCUAGAUGGUUUCAGGCCUCUGCCUCUCAGGACCCCAGACUCCCCUGAUUCAAGUCUCAUCUUAGUCCUGACUCUAGUGCCCAGAAUUUGCCUCAAGUUACCAAUCCAGAAAUUGGAAAAGAACAUCUCCAGGUACCUUGCUUGAAGACCUGGCCAGAGCUUGCGCCAGGCUGCAGAUGCCUGGCAGGAAGCAAGAAAAGGGCAUACUCACUUUCCCCUUGUCCUAGGAGGCCCAUGCACCAACAUUGCCACCGCCGCUGCCACCAGGGAACAGAGCAAAGUAGACACACACAGACAAGAAAACGGGAAGGGUUGAGUGAACCUGGGACACUGCACCCCAACUUUAAUGUGUUGUUGAAUUCAAUUAGCUAAUAUUUUGUUGAGGAUUUUUGCAUCAAUAUUCAUCAGUGAUCCUGGCCUGUAGUUUUCUUUUUUGGAUGUAUCUUUAGUUUUGGUAUCAGGGUAAUACUAGCCUUGUAGAAUGAGUUUGGAAGUAUUCCCUCCUUCUCUAUUUUUGGAAUCGUUUGGGUAAGGUUGGUAUUAGUUCUUCUUUAAAUGUUUGCUAGAAUUCAGCAGUGAAUCAUCAGGUCCCAGGCUUUUCUUUGCUGGGAGACUUUUCAUUACUGCUUCGAUCCCAUUAUUUGUUGUUGGUCUGUUCUGGCUUUGGAUUUCAUCCCGGUUCAGUCUUGGUAGUCUGGAUGUGUCUGGAAAUUUAUCCAUUUUUAGUAGGUUUUCCCAUUUGUUUGCAUAUAGUUGCUGAUAAUAGCCACUAGUGAUCCUUUGAGUUUUUGUGGUAUCAGUUGUCAUGUUUCCUUUUGUUUGUCAAUGUUAUCUUUUUAAAAAAAUAAUUUUUUUUUUUGAGAUGGAAUCUUGCUUUGUCACCCAGGCUGGAGUGCAAUGGCACAAUCCUGGCUCACUGCAACCUCUGCCUCCCAGGUUCAAGUGAUUCUCCUGCCUCAGCCUCCUGAGUAGCUGGGAUUACAGGCGCGUACCACCACCCUGGGUAAUUUUUCUAUUUUUAGUAGAGACAUGGUUUCACCAUGUUGAUCAGGCUGGUAUUGAACUCCUGACCUCAUAAGGUACCCACUUCGGCCCCGCAAAGUGCUGGGGUUACAGGCAUGAGAAUCCGUGCCCAGCCCACAUUUUGUUUUUAAAUUUUACUUAUUUACUUGUUUUUCUCUUUUGCAAACAGGGUCUCAUUCUGUUGCCCAGGCUGGAGUGCAGUGGUGCAAUCAUGGGCUCACUGUAACCUUGAACACCUAAACUCAAGAGAUCCUCCCGUCUCAGCCUCAUGAGUAGCUAGGACUACAUGCCUGCACCACCACACCUGGCUAAUUUUUCUAGUUUUUGUAGAGAAAGGGUUUUGCUAUGUUGCCCAGGCUGGUCUUGAACUCCUGGCCUCAAGCAAUCCUCCUGCCUUGGCCUCCCAAAGUGCCAGGAUUACAGGCAUGAGCCACCAUGCUGGGUCUAUACAUUUUCUUUUCCAUGUUAUAUAAAGUAUUCUGUAUGCAUCCUUCUGGAAUUUGUUUUUCUCACAAUAUUAUAUUGCUAAAGUUCUUAUUGUUGUUUAUUGCUGGCGUUCAUUCUUUUUGACUGCUUGUGAAAUCACCAGAAGAUAGACAUCCUGAGAUCUCUUAAGAACUGCUGCUGGGAGUAUACACUGGUAUGACCACUUUGGAAAACAGUUUGGCUCCAUCUCAUAAGGUUCAAUAUUCACACUCCUCCUAGCCCAGUAAUUCUACUCUACGUGGAAGAGAAAUUCUUGCCUAUAUAAAACAGGGGAUGUGGACAAGGAAUGUUCCUAACAGCUCUGUUCAAAAUAGCAAAAACCUAUUGCCCAUCAACUGGAGAGUAGGUGACUAAAUUGUGCUUUUUAUUCCCUUUGAUUUCCUGUAGUCUUACAAUGCGAGUGGCUUUCCCAUGGCUAGCUUGGGGAGGGGGAUACUCUUGGCAACUGAGUCUGUGGUGGCAGCCCUGCUUAGCCCUAGGGCAAUCGGUG